CUUAACACAUGCAAGUCGAGGGGCAGCAUUUCAGUUUGCUUGCAAACUGGAGAUGGCGACCGGCGCACGGGUGAGUAACACGUAUCCAACCUGCCGAUAACUCGGGGAUAGCCUUUCGAAAGAAAGAUUAAUACCCGAUGGUAUAAUCAGACCGCAUGGUCUUGUUAUUAAAGAAUUUCGGUUAUCGAUGGGGAUGCGUUCCAUUAGGCAGUUGGUGAGGUAACGGCUCACCAAACCUUCGAUGGAUAGGGGUUCUGAGAGGAAGGUCCCCCACAUUGGAACUGAGACACGGUCCAAACUCCUACGGGAGGCAGCAGUGAGGAAUAUUGGUCAAUGGGCGCAGGCCUGAACCAGCCAAGUAGCGUGAAGGAUGACUGCCCUAUGGGUUGUAAACUUCUUUUAUAUGGGAAUAAAGUUUUCCACGUGUGGAAUUUUGUAUGUACCAUAUGAAUAAGGAUCGGCUAACUCCGUGCCAGCAGCCGCGGUAAUACGGAGGAUCCGAGCGUUAUCCGGAUUUAUUGGGUUUAAAGGGAGCGUAGGUGGACAGUUAAGUCAGUUGUGAAAGUUUGCGGCUCAACCGUAAAAUUGCAGUUGAUACUGGCUGUCUUGAGUACAGUAGAGGUGGGCGGAAUUCGUGGUGUAGCGGUGAAAUGCUUAGAUAUCACGAAGAACUCCGAUUGCGAAGGCAGCUCACUGGACUGCAACUGACACUGAUGCUCGAAAGUGUGGGUAUCAAACAGGAUUAGAUACCCUGGUAGUCCACACAGUAAACGAUGAAUACUCGCUGUUUGCGAUAUACAGUAAGCGGCCAAGCGAAAGCAUUAAGUAUUCCACCUGGGGAGUACGCCGGCAACGGUGAAACUCAAAGGAAUUGACGGGGGCCCGCACAAGCGGAGGAACAUGUGGUUUAAUUCGAUGAUACGCGAGGAACCUUACCCGGGCUUAAAUUGCAUUUGAAUAUAUUGGAAACAGUAUAGCCGUAAGGCAAAUGUGAAGGUGCUGCAUGGUUGUCGUCAGCUCGUGCCGUGAGGUGUCGGCUUAAGUGCCAUAACGAGCGCAACCCUUAUCUUUAGUUACUAACAGGUCAUGCUGAGGACUCUAGAGAGACUGCCGUCGUAAGAUGUGAGGAAGGUGGGGAUGACGUCAAAUCAGCACGGCCCUUACGUCCGGGGCUACACACGUGUUACAAUGGGGGGUACAGAAGGCAGCUACCUGGUGACAGGAUGCUAAUCCCAAAAGCCUCUCUCAGUUCGGAUCGAAGUCUGCAACCCGACUUCGUGAAGCUGGAUUCGCUAGUAAUCGCGCAUCAGCCAUGGCGCGGUGAAUACGUUCCCGGGCCUUGUACACACCGCCCGUCAAGCCAUGAAAGCCGGGGGUACCUGAAGUACGUAACCGCAAGGAGCGUCCUAGGGUAAAACUGGUAAUUGGGGCUAAA
Molecule: ribosomal RNA, 1435 nt
Filed under: uncultured organism
Description: SSU rRNA
Rfam family: Bacterial small subunit ribosomal RNA
Source: RNAcentral